Molecule: ribosomal RNA, 501 nt
Filed under: uncultured bacterium
Lineage: Bacteria
Description: partial 16S ribosomal RNA
Rfam family: Bacterial small subunit ribosomal RNA
Source: RNAcentral
AUUGAACGCUGGCGGCAGGCUUAACACAUGCAAGUCGAGCGGAGAUGAGGUGCUUGCACCUUAUCUUAGCGGCGGACGGGUGAGUAAUGCUUAGGAAUCUGCCUAUUAGUGGGGGACAACAUUCCGAAAGGAAUGCUAAUACCGCAUACGUCCUACGGGAGAAAGAAGGGGAUCUUCGGACCUUGCGCUAAUAGAUGAGCCUAAGUCGGAUUAGCUAGUUGGUGGGGUAAAGGCCUACCAAGGCGACGAUCUGUAGCGGGUCUGAGAGGAUGAUCCGCCACACUGGGACUGAGACACGGCCCAGACUCCUACGGGAGGCAGCAGUGGGGAAUAUUGGACAAUGGGGGGAACCCUGAUCCAGCCAUGCCGCGUGUGUGAAGAAGGCCUUAUGGUUGUAAAGCACUUUAAGCGAGGAGGAGGCUACUGAGAUUAAUACUCUUGGAUAGUGGACGUUACUCGCAGAAUAAGCACCGGCUAACUCUGUGCCAGCAGCCGCGGUAA